CACUGCUUGUUCCCAGUUGUUUGGAACAAUCUGUUGACAACUAGUAACAUGCUUGAUGGCAUUAUCAGACUUGUCACAAGGUUGCUCUAACAAAUCUGAUACAGUCGUGAUAAACAAGAAUGUGACUAGGUUGACGACACAAGGUUGUAACAAUACUGCUAUAUCAUGACUGCAUCGGACUUGUUGAAACAACCUUGUAACAAGGCUGAUAAUAUCAACAAGGUUGUUACCAAUUGUUAACAGCUUGUUCCAAACUUGUUGACAACUUGUGAGAAGCAGUG
Molecule: non-coding RNA, 281 nt
Organism: Paramuricea clavata
Lineage: Eukaryota; Metazoa; Cnidaria; Anthozoa; Malacalcyonacea; Plexauridae
Source: the annotation of a GenBank genome assembly